Molecule: ribosomal RNA, 253 nt
Filed under: uncultured bacterium
Lineage: Bacteria
Description: partial 16S ribosomal RNA
Rfam family: Archaeal small subunit ribosomal RNA
Source: RNAcentral
UACCAGCACCCCGAGUUGUCGGGACGAUUAUUGGGCCUAAAGCAUCCGUAGCCUGUUCUGCAAGUCCUCCGUUAAAUCCACCUGCUUAACAGAUGGGCUGCGGAGGAUACUAUGGAGCUAGGAGGCGGGAGAGGCAAGCGGUACUUAGUGGGUAGGGGUAAAAUCCGUUGAUCCAUUGAAGACCACCAGUGGCGAAGGCGGCUUGCCAGAACGCACUCGACGGUGAGGGAUGAAAGCUGGGGGAGCAAACCGG